Small nucleolar RNA from Capsella rubella, 108 nucleotides. It matches the Rfam family "Plant small nucleolar RNA R71". Rfam says of the family: R71 is a member of the C/D box family of snoRNAs containing the C (UGAUGA) and D (CUGA) box motifs. Multiple nearly identical copies of this snoRNA have been identified in Arabidopsis, and it is thought to function as a 2'-O-ribose methylation guide for 18S ribosomal RNA. The record is from Rfam. Lineage: Eukaryota; Viridiplantae; Streptophyta; Magnoliopsida; Brassicales; Brassicaceae.
AAGCCAAGGGGGGGGGCACUGAGACUGAUAACUUUUGUAGUGCUCCCAUGCUUCACAGAGUGUUUCACCAUUCUUCUGAGUGAAUCCAGAAAUCUCGUUGCGCAGUUC